Molecule: transfer RNA, 86 nt
Filed under: Candidatus Opitulatrix cubana
Lineage: Bacteria; Bacillati; Actinomycetota; Actinomycetes; Bifidobacteriales; Bifidobacteriaceae
Description: tRNA-Leu
Rfam family: tRNA
About the family: Transfer RNA (tRNA) molecules are approximately 80 nucleotides in length.
Source: RNAcentral
GCACAUGUGGCGGAAUGGUAGACGCGCAGCGUUGAGGUCGCUGUGAUCGCUUUUAGAUCGUGCUGGUUCAAGUCCAGUCAUGUGCA